RNAcentral lists this ribosomal RNA (3110 nucleotides) under fish gut metagenome. RNAcentral's name for it is "Bacterial large subunit ribosomal RNA". It matches the Rfam family "Bacterial large subunit ribosomal RNA". The record is from RNAcentral.
GUCAAGUUAUUAAGAGCAGAUGGUGGAUGUCUUGGCACCAAGAGCCGAAGAAGGACGUAGGAGGCUGCGAUAAGCCUCGGGGAGCUGUCAACCAAGCUGUGAUCCGGGGAUGUCCGAAUGGGGAAACCCAGCUGGGGUAAUGCCCAGUUACCCUCGACUGAACACAUAGGUCGAGCGGAGGGAACGUGGGGAAGUGAAACAUCUCAGUACCCACAGGAAGAGACAACAAUAGUGAUUCCGUAAGUAGUGGCGAGCGAACGCGGAAGAGGCCAAACCAUAUAUGCGUGAUAGCCAGUAGGCGUUGCAUAUGUGGGGUUGUGGGAUUGUUCUUUCAGAACUACUGAUCUGAAAGGGAGUAAGAAAUUCGUUUUGUAGUCGAAGGCCAUGCGAAAGGGCCGGCACAGAAGGUAAGACCCCUGUAGACGAAACAACUCGAACUCCCGAACAAUAUCCCAAGUAGCACGGGGCCCGAGAAAUCCCGUGUGAAUCUGGGGGGACCACCCCCUAAGCCUAAAUACUCCUUGGUGACCGGUACCGGACAAGUACCGUGAGGGAAAGAUGAAAAGAACCCCGGGAGGGUAGUGAAAUAGAACCUCAAUCCAUUUGCUUACAAUGCGUUGGAGCUGGGAUUCGUCCUGGUGACAGCGUGCCUUUUGAAGAAUGAGCCUGCGAGUUAGCGGUGUGUGGCAAGGUUAACCUGUUGAAGGGUAGCCGUAGCGAAAGCGAGUCUGAAUAGGGCGAAUCAGUCGCACACUCUAGACCCGAAGCGGAGUGAUCUACCCAUGGCCAGGUUGAAGCGACGGUAAGACGUCGUGGAGGACCGAACCCACUUAUGUUGAAAAAUGAGGGGAUGAGCUGUGGGUAGGGGUGAAAGGCCAAUCAAACUCCGUGAUAGCUGGUUCUCCCCGAAAUGCAUUUAGGUGCAGCGUCACGCGUUUCUUCCCGGAGGUAGAGCACUGGAUGGUCUAGGGGGCCUACAAGCUUACUGAAAUCAACCAAACUCCGAAUGCCGGGAAGUUAGAGCGUGGCAGUGAGACUGCGGGGGAUAAGCUCCGUAGUCGAGAGGGAAACAGCCCAGACCACCAACUAAGGCCCCAAAGCGUAUGCUAAGUGGGAAAGGAUGUGGAGUCGCAUAGACAACCAGGAGGUUGGCUUAGAAGCAGCCACCCUUGAAAGAGUGCGUAAUAGCUCACUGGUCAAGUGAUUCCGCGCCGACAAUGUAGCGGGGCUCAAGCAUACCGCCGAAGUUGUGGCAUUCAAGUACUAUCUCGGCCUGCUUAGGCAGGUCCAGGAUCUUGGAUGGGUAGGGGAGCGUCGUGUGGCGAGUGAAGCGGCAGGGGAACCUAGCCGUGGACGCCACACGAGUGAGAAUGCAGGCAUGAGUAGCGAAAGACGGGCGAGAAACCCGUCCGCCGAAUGAUCAAGGGUUCCAGGGCCAGGCUAAUCCGCCCUGGGUAAGUCGGGACCUAAGACGAGGCCGACAGGCGUAGUCGAUGGACAACGGGUUGAUAUUCCCGUACCGGCAUUAACACGACCAUGACGAACCUAGUAAUGCUAAGUGCCCAAAGCUCGGUGAUUCCUUCGGGAAGAGUUGAGUGGAGCGCACGACCCGAGCUAGUAGUAGUCAAGCAAUGGGGUGACACAGGAAGGUAGUCCAACCCGGGCGAUGGUAGUCCCGGGGUAAGGGUGUAGGGCGAGAUAUAGGUAAAUCCGUAUCUCAUGUGCCUGAGACCUGAUGCCGAGCCGAUCAAGGCGAAGUGGAUGAUCCUAUGCUGUCGAGAAAAGCCUCUAGCGAGUGUUAAAGCCGCCCGUACCCCAAACCGACACAGGUGAUCAGGUAGAGAAUACUAAGGCGAUCGAGAUAACUAUGGUUAAGGAACUCGGCAAAAUGCCCCCGUAACUUCGGGAGAAGGGGGGCCCGUUCUGGUUAGGAAACUUGCUUUCCGAGCUGGGAUUGGCCGCAGAGACCAGGCCCAAGCGACUGUUUACUAAAAACACAGGUCCAUGCUAAGUCGCAAGACAACGUAUAUGGACUGACGCCUGCCCGGUGCUGGAACGUUAAGGGGACGGGUUAGCAACUUCGGUUGCGAAGCUCAGAACUUAAGCGCCAGUAAACGGCGGUGGUAACUAUAACCAUCCUAAGGUAGCGAAAUUCCUUGUCGGGUAAGUUCCGACCUGCACGAAUGGCGUAACGACUUGGGCGCUGUCUCAACCAUAGACUCGGCGAAAUUGCACUACGAGUAAAGAUGCUCGUUACGCGCGGCAGGACGGAAAGACCCCGGGACCUUUACUACAGCUUGGUAUUGGUGGUCGAUUCAAUUUGUGUAGGAUAGGUGGGAGACUAUGAAACUUGGACGCCAGUUCAGGUGGAGUCAUCGUUGAAAUACCACUCUGAUUGUAUUGGCUGUCUAACUUAGGUCCGUGAUCCGGACCAGGGACAGUGCCUGGUGGGUAGUUUAACUGGGGCGGUUGCCUCCUAAAAUGUAACGGAGGCGCUCAAAGGUUCCCUCAGCCUGGUUGGCAAUCAGGUAUCGAGUGUAAGUGCACAAGGGAGCUUGACUGUGAGACUGACAAGUCGAGCAGGGACGAAAGUCGGAACUAGUGAUCCGGUGUUGGCAAGUGGAAGCGACAUCGCUCAACGGAUAAAAGGUACCCCGGGGAUAACAGGCUGAUCUUGCCCAAGAGUCCAUAUCGAUGGCAUGGUUUGGCACCUCGAUGUCGGCUCGUCGCAUCCUGGGGCUGGAGUAGGUCCCAAGGGUUGGGCUGUUCGCCCAUUAAAGCGGCACGCGAGCUGGGUUUAGAACGUCGUGAGACAGUUCGGUCCCUAUCCGCCGCGCGCGUAAGAGUCUUGAGAAGACCUGCCCCUAGUACGAGAGGACCGGGGUGGACGAACCUCUGGUGUGUCAGUUGUCCUGCCAAGGGCACUGCUGAUUAGCUACGUUCGGAAGGGAUAACCGCUGAAAGCAUCUAAGCGGGAAACCCUCUUCAAGAUGAGGGCUCUCACAGGGUUAACCUGGUAAGGCCCCCAGUAGACCACUGGGUUGAUAGGCCGGAAGUGGAAGUACAGCAAUGUAUGCAGCUGACCGGUACUAAUAGGCCGAGGACUUGAC